UGCCUCAGUAACGGCGAGUGAAGCGGCAACAGCUCAAAUUUGAAAUCUGGCCUUCUGGUCCGAGUUGUAAUUUGUAGAGGAUGCUUCGAGCGUGGUCCGGUCUAAGUUCCUUGGAACAGGACGUCAUAGAGGGUGAGAAUCCCGUAUGUGACUGGGUGCCUAAGCUCAUGUGAAGCUCCUUCGACGAGUCGAGUUGUUUGGGAAUGCAGCUCUAAAUGGGUGGUAAAUUUCAUCUAAGGCUAAAUACUGGCCAGAGACCGAUAGCGCACAAGUAGAGUGAUCGAAAGAUGAAAAGCACUUUGGAAAGAGAGUUAAACAGUACGUGAAAUUGUUGAAAGGGAAGCGCUUGCAACCAGACUUGCAUGCAGUUGAUCAUCCGAUGUUCUCACCGGUGCACUCGAUUGUAUUCAGGCCAGCAUUGGUUUUGGUGGUUGGAUAAAGGCCUAGGGAAUGUAGCUCCUCUCGGGGAGUGUUAUAGCCCUAGGUGCAAUGCAGCCUACCGGGACCAAGGACCGCGCUUCGGCUAGGAUGCUGGCGUAAUGGUUGUAAGCGACCCGUCUUGAAACACGGACCAAGGAGUCUAACAUCUAUGCGAGUGUUUGGGUGCAAAACCCAUACGCGGAAUGAAAGUGAACGGAGGUGAGAACCCUUAAGGGUGCAUCAUCGACCGAUCCUGAUGUCUUCGGAUGGAUUUGAGUAAGAGCAUAGCUGUUGGGACCCGAAAGACAGUGAACUAUACUUGAAUAGGGUGAAGCCAGAGGAAACUCUGGUGGAGGCUCGCAGCGGUUCUGACGUGCAAAUCGAUCGUCAAAUUUGGGUAUAGGGGCGAAAGACUAAUCGA
Molecule: ribosomal RNA, 841 nt
Filed under: Epiglia gloeocapsae
Lineage: Eukaryota; Fungi; Ascomycota; Leotiomycetes; Leotiales; Mniaeciaceae
Description: LSU rRNA
Rfam family: Eukaryotic large subunit ribosomal RNA
Source: RNAcentral